GAAGGGAUGGGGAUAGGAAAAGAAAAAGAGUGANCACUUUGACAGAAUUUCAGUGGGUGAUGUAUAUGCAGAAUCAGUAACUUGGAGCUAUAGAGAUGGCUUCUUGUCCUUGGCUCUGUUUCAACUGUCUGUCUUCUCCAAUCUGCUUUUCAUCCUCCAUGUUUAAGUGAGUAGGUGAGUUUUCAUGUCCAAACUGAGAGAGCAUGUCUGAGGAUUGAUUACUCAGGAAAUUGGGCCCCCCUCUCUAGCUCUCUAAUUUACAGAAUUCACCUUAGGAAUGAUGGGGAAGUGUUACAACAAACUGAUUUAAGAUUUACAUGAAUAAAAAGAUUCAAUAAAUAGAUGAAAUGUAAUAAGGAUGAAUAGAAAUCUUCGCAUUUGGGUUUUAAAAACUCAGUGCAUGUGUAAGAAGGGAAGCUAUGUUCAAAUAUGACUGAGUAUUUGGGAGUUUUAAUAAUAAAUGCUAUGUAAGUCAGUGUCAGUCUGCUUUGGCUUCUGUAACAAAAUCCAAU
This 512-nucleotide long non-coding RNA is filed under the name Marmota monax (woodchuck). Lineage: Eukaryota; Metazoa; Chordata; Mammalia; Rodentia; Sciuridae. The record is from RNAcentral.